This 367-nucleotide ribosomal RNA is filed under the name uncultured bacterium. RNAcentral describes it as "bacterial SSU rRNA". It matches the Rfam family "Bacterial small subunit ribosomal RNA", at positions 30 to 393 of the family's 1533-position model. The record is from RNAcentral.
AUUGAACGCUGGCGGCAUGCCUUACACAUGCAAGUCGAACGGCAGCACGGGAGCUUGCUCCUGGUGGCGAGUGGCCGAACGGGUGAGUAAUACAUCGGGAACGUACCCUGAAGUGGGGGAUAACGUAGCGAAAGUUACGCUAAUACCGCAUAUUCUGUGAGCAGGAAAGAGGGGGAUACGCAAGACCUCUUGCUUUAGGAGCGGCCGAUGUCGGAUUAGCUAGUUGGUGAGGUAAGGCUCACCGAAGGCGACGAUCCGUAGCGGGUCUGAGAGGAUGAUCCGCCACACUGGGACUGAGACACGGCCCAGACUCCUACGGGAGGCAGCAGUGGGGAAUUUGGACAAUGGGCGCAAGCCUGAUCCAGCC